GACGAACGCUGGCGGCGUGCUUAACACAUGCAAGUCGAACGGAAAGGCCCUGCUUUUGUGGGGUGCUCGAGUGGCGAACGGGUGAGUAACACGUGAGUAACCUGCCCUUGACUUUGGGAUAACUUCAGGAAACUGGGGCUAAUACCGGGUAGGAGCUCCUGCUGCAUGGUGGGGGUUGGAAAGUUUCGGCGGUUGGGGAUGGACUCGCGGCUUAUCAGCUUGUUGGUGGGGUAGUGGCUUACCAAGGCUUUGACGGGUAGCCGGCCUGAGAGGGUGACCGGCCACAUUGGGACUGAGAUACGGCCCAGACUCCUACGGGAGGCAGCAGUGGGGAAUAUUGCACAAUGGGCGGAAGCCCGAUGCAGCAACGCCGCGUGCGGGAUGACGGCCUUCGGGUUGUAAACCGCUUUCGCCUGUGACGAAGCGUGAGUGACGGUAAUGGGUAAAGAAGCACCGGCUAACUACGUG
RNAcentral lists this ribosomal RNA (468 nucleotides) under uncultured bacterium. RNAcentral's name for it is "partial 16S ribosomal RNA". It matches the Rfam family "Bacterial small subunit ribosomal RNA", at positions 28 to 507 of the family's 1533-position model. The record is from RNAcentral.